UUUCCCAUCUGUUCAAAGGCUGUAACAGGGACAUGGAGUGGGCCUGUGCUGGGAGCAAAAGCUUGAGCCAGGACUCACAAAACUGAGGAAAAAUCUGAGCGGUAGUGAGAGCAAACGGGUUGGUGCUUGUGGAGGGAGCAGGGAGGCAUGGUAUGAAAUAAGGUGCAGUAUCCAUUUCUGACAGGACUUUUUGGUGCCUAUAUCUGCAUCUCAGAGGAAGCAGCCAGUUACUGUUGCUCCUUGGCUCAUUUGCACAGUCUAGGGAUGAAUGGAUCUGUGGCUCUUCCAGUCCUCUUCUUCUCCAGGGUCCUUUUAAAAUCUGUGCAGUUGCUGUCCUGCCCAGUGAAACCCACUAAGUUCUGUGAGAAGGGCUGACAACCUAAGGAGAGAGAGAACAGUUCAGCCUUUCUAUUCACCAAGCAGAUUCAUUAAUGAUUAGUGCCAUUAGGUGGACUACAGUAGUGCCUGAGGGCCCCAAUUAAAGGAAAAGUGAGCUUGUUAAAUCCAGAAAGCCAGAUUCUCCCUCUGAUACUCACGCCUGAUGCAGAGGUGGUGCCUCCAGGGCGGGCAGCAGGAAUGGCCCUGGCUUUCUGUGAGAGCAGCUUCUGUGCCUUCCCUCCUCCCUCCUCCACAGCUUCCCUCUGCCCUGCCUGAGCUGCAGAUCCUGCUUGCAGGGUUCUGCAGAGCAAGGCUGUUGCAGGAGUUGGCUGGCAGGACUUGCAGGAGGAGGUGUCAAAUCAGCUUAUUCUUCUGAGCCACUUCAUUCUUCAUCACGAGUGGGUUUGGGUGGGCUUUUUUUGGUUUAGGUCUUGGGGUUUUUUUGGGCAGGGUUGAGAGCAGGCAAAGUAGUGGGGAUUGCAGAGGAGUCUGUUAUGAAAUCAGAUGCGGUUUUAGAUGUCUGAAAGAGUUUCUUUAGGCUAAAGGCAGCUGAAGAUCAAUUGCACUGUUGGCAAAUGUGCUUCCAGCUGGUUGGAGCUUCUCUUGAGGGAGAGUUUCAACCCAGGGCCCAUUGCAAUGGUAGUGCAGGAAAGGGCUUUCCUUUGCUUUGGGCUAAGGACCUUCUGCUGCCCAGUUCUACCAGUGAGAAGAGAAACUGGAGAUGAUGUGGGAGAGGCACCACAGCUCUGUUACUGCUGAUAUGAAGAAAAGAUGGAAACAGCCUCCUGAAGGUCAAGGUGAGACUGACCAACACCUGAUUGCUGGUACUCACCAGCAGUAAUAAAUCCCUGAUCACAGGUGCUGGAAGUCUCUUCAGAGAAACAACAUUGCUGCAGGGGACCAACAACUAGUCCUGACCUUCUUUACACAGCCAUUCUCUGGGAAAUGUAUCCCCUGAAGUCAAUGUGGAUUCUGCCUAGCUUUCAUCAGAAGAAAAACGCCUGGAUUGAAAUGACAGCAACAAAUAAUAGGUGCUGGUGAUUUGCACUCUCUCCACCUAAAUCAGAUAUCUGGCACAUCAGUACUUAGAAGGCUUAGGAGAAGAAGAAAACAUCAAUAUUUCAAUGAACACAAAAAGUUGCACAACUCCCCAGUUUUUAUUUUAAUGUCACCUGUGGUUAGUGGGUCAUAUUUCUUUUUUUCUGUAAGACGAGUGAUUUCCACUUCUCUUUAAAUCCCACCUGUGCAAAUAGCUUGUUUUUCUCCCUAGCAAGUGUUAACAAGGAACUGUAAGGGUUUUGUUCAGGCUCAGUAGUCAGGCAGUCCUGGGGCGUGUGACUUCUAGGAAAAGCCACAGCAGGAACAAAUGAGAGCCAGCCCACGCACCAGGCACAGCUCACAGCUUUUGCUGGUCCUCAGCUCUAUGUUCCAGCUCACACUCGUGGUAAAUGGAUCUCUGUUAGCAACUGCAACGCCGACCAGCGCCGGGAGCACAGAUCUGGACGAGCUGGGUGCUUCAUCAUGGAGCUGCCCUUAGAAACCACGGCCCAUUAUGAGGCAGCUUCACCCUCCUCAGCAGAGCCCACGGCAAUUCAGGACUUGCUCUGCUCACUUUAGUCCGUGCAAUUUCAUCCUUUGUGUGAACCAGAAUCAUGCAAAUGGGGGCACUGGAGUCAUAGGGGAGUCGAGUUCCACGCGAGGAGUGGCAUGAGAAGGAGCAGCAAUUAGCUCGGAAUUCACUCUACCAGCCUGUCAUUCCUUCACUCUCCCCUGCUGCUCUGCAACUGGAAGCCUUGUGCUCUAGAAGAAGGGGAGAAGAACAUUUUGCUCAUGCUCAUAUUAAUCAAGUCAUCGUGUGAGCUGCUGAAUCUGUGAAAUUGUAUCUCCCAUGGAGUUCGGAGGUAAUGACUGUCUUCGAUGUGGACUCUCUGGUGUCUAAUAAUACAGUAAUAUUUCUGCAGUGGAUGCACUCCCAGCAUUUCUUCUCCUCUGCCUGCCUACUUCUACAGCACUUGUAGGCAGCUCAAACCUUUGAGACUUCUAUCCCCUGUCAAGUUUGAUCAAACUCAGUUCACAGGCUCAAAAAUUAUUUAGGAGGGACCGACUGGCACUUGCACAGACAGUGUGAUCUCAUAGGCUUCCUUUCCUUGGGAAACUAGGCUACCAUCCUAGCAACGGGGUGAAAAAAAAGCCAUCCUGCUAGCAAAGAGGACCUAAACACCAGGAGGAAAGAGGGGAGGUGGGAGAGGAAAGUGAAGGUGUUUUGAAGGGAAAAAUAUUGCUGCCUUGUGGCUGCAGAGCUCUCACACGCUUAAAGGGCCAGCCUUGGAGAGACACGCUGGAGAAAAUAUUCUCCAGGAGAUGGAAAGUUCUCUCAUGAAAAUUGGUGAGGGAAAGAAAUGACCUGGAUUCAUCUCACCACCUGGCAUGCUGAAUGGAUAUCUCUAUGGUAAGGAUUGUCUCUGGUGACACUUGCUCCUCCCUGUGGACUAGAGGAAGACACAGACACAAUUAGCAUGCAACCUGUAUGCCUGCAGCAUCUAAAGUGAGGUGUGUCCUGUCCCAAAGGGAAUUCUCUUCUUCCCACUUCCUCCUUCAGACCAAAGUUUUCCAUGGUGCUGCUGCAGGGUUUGUUACUUCAUGUACUACAUUUGUAUUUUAGAAAAGCUGCUGUGUGUCUUAAUAGCUGCAGAUGUAUGCAUGGUUUUACUGGGCAUUUAUUAUCACUUAUCCUCUUUGCACUGAAACCUUUCCUGUCCUUGUAUCUUACGGAAUAAAAUUCUUUAAGUGAGCUUUAA
Zonotrichia albicollis (white-throated sparrow) is the source of this 3176-nucleotide non-coding RNA. Lineage: Eukaryota; Metazoa; Chordata; Aves; Passeriformes; Passerellidae. The record is from RefSeq and is a predicted model, not a curated record.